RNAcentral lists this ribosomal RNA (468 nucleotides) under uncultured bacterium. RNAcentral describes it as "partial 16S ribosomal RNA". It matches the Rfam family "Bacterial small subunit ribosomal RNA", at positions 28 to 507 of the family's 1533-position model. The record is from RNAcentral.
GACGAACGCUGGCGGCGUGCUUAACACAUGCAAGUCGAACGGAAAGGCCCUGCUUUUGUGGGGUGCUCGAGUGGCGAACGGGUGAGUAACACGUGAGUAACCUGCCCUUGACUUUGGGAUAACUUCAGGAAACUGGGGCUAAUACCGGAUAGGAGCUCCUGCUGCAUGGUGGGGGUUGGAAAGUUUCGGCGGUUGGGGAUGGACUCGCGGCUUAUCAGCUGGUUGGUGGGGUAGUGGCUUACCAAGGCUUUGACGGGUAGCCGGCCUGAGAGGGUGACCGGCCACAUUGGGACUGAGAUACGGCCCAGACUGCUACGGGAGGCAGCAGUGGGGAAUAUUGCACAAUGGGCGGAAGCCUGAUGCAGCAACGCCGCGUGCGGGAUGACGGCCUUCGGGUUGUAAACCGCUUUCGCCUGUGACGAAGCGUGAGUGACGGUAAUGGGUAAAGAAGCACCGGCUAACUACGUG